UACGUAGGGAGCAAGCGUUGUCCGGAAUCAUUGGGCGUAAAGAGCGCGUAGGUGGCUUUAUAAGUCCGUUGUGAAAGUCAAAGGCUCAACCUUUGAAAGCCGAUGGAUACUGUGAAGCUAGAGUACGGAAGAGGCGAGUGGAAUUCCUGGUGUAGCGGUGGAAUGCGCAGAUAUCAGGAGGAACACCAAUUGCGAAGGCAGCUCGCUGGGACGUUACUGACGCUGAGACGCGAAAGCGUGGGGAGCAAACAGG
This 253-nucleotide ribosomal RNA is filed under the name uncultured bacterium. RNAcentral's name for it is "partial 16S ribosomal RNA". It matches the Rfam family "Bacterial small subunit ribosomal RNA", at positions 524 to 776 of the family's 1533-position model. The record is from RNAcentral.